RNAcentral lists this unclassified non-coding RNA (334 nucleotides) under soil metagenome. RNAcentral's name for it is "partial contains 5.8S ribosomal RNA, internal transcribed spacer 2, and large subunit ribosomal RNA". The stretch from base 1 to 120 matches the Rfam family "5.8S ribosomal RNA", at positions 35 to 154 of the family's 154-position model. The record is from RNAcentral.
GAUGAAGAACGUAGCGAAAUGCGAUAAGUAGUGUGAAUUGCAGAAUUCAGUGAAUCAUCGAAUCUUUGAACGCACAUUGCGCCCCUUGGUAUUCCAUGGGGCAUGCCUGUUCGAGCGUCAUUUGUACCUUCAAGCUUUGCUUGGUGUUGGGUGUUUGUCCAUUCUCUUGCAGAGGGACUCGCCUUAUAGUAAUUGGCAGCCAGUGUUUUGGUUUUGAAGCGCAGCACAAGUCGCGAUUCAACGCUAUACGCCAGCUUCCACAAGCCUUUUUCACUUUUGACCUCGGAUCAGGUAGGGAUACCCGCUGAACUUAAGCAUAUCAAUAAGCGGAGGA